Molecule: long non-coding RNA, 874 nt
Filed under: Pan troglodytes (chimpanzee)
Lineage: Eukaryota; Metazoa; Chordata; Mammalia; Primates; Hominidae
Description: long non-coding RNA NONPTRT005423
Source: RNAcentral
ACAAUUGAAUGUUAUUUCCUUCCCUCUGCCAGUGUGUUUUAUAUUUCUUUAGAGGUGUUUGUUCAUUAUAUAAUAUAGAAUUUAUGUCAUCCUUAAAUUCAUAAUGCAAAUAAAUUAUAAAGAGGUGUGUAGAUAUAUUCGAAAAACAGUCUUAGUUUCAUUUGCUGGAUUGGGUUUCUCUGAUUUUUCACAUGAAGAAAGCUGAUGACAACUUGAGUUGUUUACAAGGGAAUUGGUCAGAAGUUUUCUUGAAGAAACACAAUAAACCUGAUGAAGGUUAUUAUCAGUGUGUGGCCACUGUUGAGAGUCUUGGAACUAUUAUCAGUAGAACAGCGAAGCUCAUAGUAGCAGGUAAGUUUUAAGUGAUUUUUUUUUUUGCAUUUUCAAAUAUUUAUAACAUACAUCUUGAUAAAAGCACUGUUCUCAUACUCUGUGUAUGGGACCUUGCUGUAGGUCUUGCUCAGUGCCGUAGAGAAUAAACUGUAGCGUGUUUCCACUUGUCUGAUGGCUUAAUAUUGCUAUCAGAAGUACUGAGCAGUUCUUUUCUCCUUUUAAACUUGGAAGUGGCAGAGGAAGUGGUAUAGGAAAAUUAAAUCACUUUGACGGCCAACUUCUAUCUUACCCAGCAUAACCAUUUAGUAUGGUUUUGUAAAACUUGCAGUAAAGUCAGAAUCCUGGUUCCUUGAUGCCUUAACCAAGGAAAUGACAUUCAAUUGGAUUAAUUGUUUUAAAAUCUACAGAGUGUAUAUUACCUACUCCAGGAUUAUGGUUUCCCAUCUCAUGCUCACUCCAGAGUAUGUUUGCUUAUACAUUCAGAGCAUAAUGGCUGGUUUUUUCCCUCUUUGGGGACAAAUAGUCAAAGUUGAAUUUGGGU